RNAcentral lists this ribosomal RNA (341 nucleotides) under Shigella sonnei. RNAcentral describes it as "partial 23S ribosomal RNA". It matches the Rfam family "Bacterial large subunit ribosomal RNA", at positions 1 to 369 of the family's 2925-position model. Lineage: Bacteria; Pseudomonadati; Pseudomonadota; Gammaproteobacteria; Enterobacterales; Enterobacteriaceae. The record is from RNAcentral.
GGGUUGUGAGGUUAAGCGACUAAGCGUACACGGUGGAUGCCCUGGCAGUCAGAGGCGAUGAAGGACGUGCUAAUCUGCGAUAAGCGUCGGUAAGGUGAUAUGAACCGUUAUAACCGGCGAUUUCCGAAUGGGGAAACCCAGUGUGAUUCGUCACACUAUCAUUAACUGAAUCCAUAGGUUAAUGAGGCGAACCGGGGGAACUGAAACAUCUAAGUACCCCGAGGAAAAGAAAUCAACCGAGAUUCCCCCAGUAGCGGCGAGCGAACGGGGAGCAGCCCAGAGCCUGAAUCAGUGUGUGUGUUAGUGGAAGCGUCUGGAAAGGCGCGCGAUACAGGGUGACA